Molecule: ribosomal RNA, 300 nt
Filed under: uncultured soil bacterium
Lineage: Bacteria
Description: bacterial SSU rRNA
Rfam family: Bacterial small subunit ribosomal RNA
Source: RNAcentral
AGGAUGAACGCUGGCGGCGUGCCUAAUACAUGCAAGUAGAACGCUGAAGCUUGGUGCUUGCACCGAGCGGAUGAGUUGCGAACGGGUGAGUAACGCGUAGGUAACCUGCCGUGGUAGCGGGGGAUAACUAUUGGAAACGAUAGCUAAUACCGCAUAACAGUCGACAUUGCAUGAUGUUGAUUGAAAGGGCAAUUGCUACCACUACCAGAUGGACCUGCGUUGUAUUAGCUAGUGGUGAGGUAACGCUCACAAGGCGACGAUACAUAGCCGACUGAGAGGUGAUCGGCACACGUGGACUGA